Molecule: long non-coding RNA, 466 nt
Filed under: Daucus carota (carrot)
Lineage: Eukaryota; Viridiplantae; Streptophyta; Magnoliopsida; Apiales; Apiaceae
Description: long non-coding RNA (DCAR_LNC003687)
Source: RNAcentral
UGCUAAGGUCUUACCCAGGGCCCAAGAUUCCUAGACCAGCAAGAUUUGGGGAAGGUACUAACUUUAAUUACCUGCACUAAUUUAAUUAUAUCUUACAAUUUGUUCAAUAAAAUAUGCAGGGCAUAAUUUGUUCAGGACUCGCUUAUUAUGUUCAAGGAAUUGCAAUGAAAGACAGAGGACCUGUUUUUGUAACGGCUUUCAAUCCACUGGGCAUGAUCCUUGUCGCCGUCUUAGGAUCCUUCAUCUUAGCAGAACAAAUACACCUGGGAGGGUAGAUACCAGACUCACUUUUCAAUCAUAUAUAGACACAAACCUCCAAAAAAAAGGAGUCUUGAGCUUAAAUUAAAUUAAGAAGAGCUUAAAUAAUAUUUAUACCUUUGUCUGCAGGGUCAUCGGAGCCUUUGUGAUAGCUGUAGGAGUUUACCUUGUUGUGUGGGGUAAGAGCAAAGAUUACAAGCCCCGGGAC